RNAcentral lists this ribosomal RNA (492 nucleotides) under uncultured bacterium. Its description in RNAcentral is "partial 16S ribosomal RNA". It matches the Rfam family "Bacterial small subunit ribosomal RNA", at positions 29 to 507 of the family's 1533-position model. The record is from RNAcentral.
AGUGAACGUUGGCGGUAGGCCUAACACAUGCAAGUCGAACGGCAGCACAGUAAGAGCUUGCUCUUACGGGUGGCGAGUGGCGGACGGGUGAGGAAUACAUCGGAAUCUACUUUUUCGGGGGGGAUAACGUAGGGAAACUUACGCUAAUACCGCAUACGACCUACGGGUGAAAGCAGGGGAUCUUCGGACCUUGCGCGAUUGAAUGAGCCGAUGUCGGAUUAGCUAGUUGGCGGGUUAAAGGCCCACCAAGGCGACGAUCCGUAGCUGGUCUGAGAGGAUGCUCAGCCACACUGGAACGGGGACACGCUCCAGCCUCCUACGGGAGGCACCAGUGGGGAAUAUUGGACAAUGGGCGCAAGCCUGAUCCAGCCAGACGGCGUGGGUGAAGAAGGCCUUCGGGUUGUAAAGCCCUUUUGUUGGGAAAGAAAAGCAGCAGGUUAAUACCCCGCUGUUCUGACGGUACCCAAAGAAUAAGCACCGGCUAACUUCGUG